This 5132-nucleotide long non-coding RNA is filed under the name Equus caballus (horse). RNAcentral describes it as "lncRNA (ENSECAG00000053225.1)". The record is from RNAcentral. Lineage: Eukaryota; Metazoa; Chordata; Mammalia; Perissodactyla; Equidae.
AUUUAAAUGCGAAAAUCUCUCAAGGGAGGCUUGUGCUGCCUCUAGAUAUCUUUCAGCUAUGUGUAAAUUUACCUAGGGUUUUGUCACUUAUAGUAGUGUCUGGUACAUCAUAAGUUCUCAGCGAGUAUUAGACAGAUUCUACCACAUUGUAACUGUGUGAACUUGGGCGUGCCUCAGUUUCCUCAUCUGUAAAAUAUGGCAAAAUAAUUUAUCGUGCAUGGCGAUUUUAUUUGGCAAGCAUGUACUUUUAUAGUCUUUGCUCUGUGCUCUGCCCUGUGCAGGUAUUAACUCUAACUUUCAUAGGAGCCUAAUGAGGCAGAUACCAUUCCUAUCCUCAUUUACAGAUGAAGCAACUGAGGAACUGGGAGGUUAAAUAUUUCUUUCAAGGUAACACAACUGGUAAUUAACUGAGUUGAGAUUCAAACCUAGACACUCUAGCUCCGGAGUCUGAGUUUGUACUGAUUACUCUGUGCUACGGAUGCAGUGAAACAAUAUUUGUAAAGCAUCUGUCGAAUUCCUGACACAUAGCAGAAGCUUAGUAGAUGUCAGCUCCUCUCCCAUCUUCUCAUUAAAUAUCUUUAGAAAUUCUCAUGGAAUGCAAAAUGAUAUGAAUUUAUCAGCUGGCCUACGUGUUUUCCUAAAAUAUCCAAGUUUGUGUAAUAGCAGCAUCCCUGAGUUCUUUAGGGGUGCCCAGAAAUAUGCGAACAUACCUCUCUCUGAUUAGGCCCAUCUCGGAUCAUCUUUUCUGUUGACACGUUGGAGUUCCCGGAAGCCAGACAUCAGGAUGCACUGCGGUGUGUGCCGUGAUACCCUGUAGAGCAGCUGUCAGGGAUGACAGUCUGGAGCAGAACAGCUGGAGGGCAGAGCUGAUGCUUCUAAUGACUGAGAACAAGUAAUGGAGAUGAGGCAGCCAAAGGAGUGGUGUCUGACUGCGGCGCGCACCACCCCAUGCUGUUGUGCAGAGCUCCUUGAUGAGGACGCUGUAAGAAUUCUAGAUGGGACAAUUCUGUGCUGUGCGGGACUGUCCUGAUAGAAUCAAUCUGAGUUAUUUCAUACAUUGUAGGAUUUGUAGCAUCCUUGACUCCCAGAUACUGAAUGCUAGUAACUCCACCUAGCAACAACUAAAAAUCAAAACCGGAAUAUGUUGCCCGGGGGUAAGAGAUGGUGUUAUCACCUCUAUUGAAAACUGCUCCCUGUCUGGCCUUUGGGGUUUACCUGGGAUUAUGAGCAGACGGCUUCAUUAUCUAUUGCCUUCUGCUCAAAAUCAGGGGGCAGCCAGGAACACCUAGCAUCAGUGCCACCUGGGAGCUGAUUACAAAUGCAGAAUCUUAGGUCCCAUCCCCAACCUCUGGAUCAGCAUCUGCAUUUUAACAAGAUCCCCAGUGAUUUGCACACAGAUUAUGGUUUGAGAAACAUUGUCUUACUAGAUGGAACAUGGACUUUGGAGUAAGAAGAUCCAGGGUUGAAAUUGAGACUCUGCCUCUUACUAGCUGUGUGACCAUGGGAAGAUCACUUAACCUUUCUGAGCCUCAGUUUCUUCAUCUCUAAAAAGAUUUUAAUACUUUCCCCAUGCUGUAGGCAUACAAUAAGCACUCAAUAAAUAUCAUUUCCCUUCUCCCCGAUCCCUUCCACCAGGGAACACAGUCAGGAAAACCAGUUUAGUUCUUUGGUGAUCAUUAGUGAAUUAUUAUCAUAGGAUAUUGUGGCAAGAUGAAGAGAAGAUGAUGUUCAUUCUCUCCCUCUGUCUCCUCUUUCCUCACUCUGCUGCGUUCUUCCAUAGUUAUAGACACAGUACUUAUCAAGUUCUAGCCAGGGCAUCGCUGGGCCAUGACAAACACUGGAAGAGUGGGCUGGUUGGGUGUGACCAGGAAUGGGAGAGUACAGCUCUCCCGGUUCAAACAGGUUAGUUCAGUGGAACAAAUUACAUUUCCAAGGUAAGAUUUGGGACUGCCGGCAAAGGCUGGACUGGAAGGGAAGAGUCUAGAGGUCACGAUCAGGUCCAGGGAGUUGAUUGGGCAGAGGGUGGGGGAAUAGGAUCAGAGAGAUGUCUGGGACCAAGGAAGAUGGAAAUAAGCCUGUCAGGACACUUUCAGAUGCUUUCUCUACAUCCUCUUCUGUGCUCCCAGUGUGCCCUGCACGUGACUCCACCAGGGUACCCAUCACUCUGGACGGAAACACAGAUCUGACUUUUUUAUUAUUAGAUUGAAAGGAUUUUGAGGAUGAAUAUUAUCUUACAGAUUGUCUCCUGUUUCACUUGUUUAUAUAUCUAGGAUGUAUAAACGGGUACUGUCUGCAAUGAUGAAAGAGUGAACAAAGUUGUGCCUCCAGUGCUACAAUCCCAUCGCAGUGCAUUCCUUACAGGAACCCACGGGGCCUUUAACAGAGCCAACAGUGAGGCGCUCCCUGAGCAAACGCAUCCUCGUUGGUCUCCAAUCCUACAAGCCUCUGUCAGGGAGCAGCCUGGGUGUCCCACUGCCCCUCUCUUCUCACUGCUAGUGUCCUAUGCAUAGAGAAGGAACCCACGGGAAAGGACGGAGAGUUGGCAGAAUCUCUACCCACCAGGUCUCCUUUGCUCACGGUUUUGACUGUGGUUGGAUUGAGAGCCUGUUACUUUGCAGGGAACCAGCUGCCUCAGUUUCCAGGAGCUCAGAGAGGCUAGGAAAGAUUGAUUGUGCCUUUCUUUACUGGAGAGCUACCUGCUGGCCCCAUGGGAUGGCUCAGGAAGUCAGUCCCGAAGAAGUUAGCUCAGGGAUUUACCUGGACUCUGAUGGGAGGGUGGAAACCGGCCUACGGGAGACAGGCAUAAAAUGCAGCCUCUCCACUCUGGAGAUGAGGCCAUGCCCCCGAGUAGAGCUGCUUAAUGAGCUUGGCUGCUUUCCAGAAAUGGAUGUUCAGGAGGAGAGGGCACAACCCCUCCAUCAGGCCCGGGCCUCAGGACCUGAGAUUAGUUGCCACUGAGGAUUACUCAUCCUGUGACAGUUAAAUGUGUUUGAUUUCAUUGCAGAUCAGCUCCACAGCUUAUUAUCAUGCUCAGCAAAACUGUCUGCGGCCCGGAAUUUCCUCACGGGAGGGGAAGGAUGGGGGACUUGCUGGGUGUGGAGGGAGGAAUGGCCUGUGGACCUUCUAUGUUGAAAGUGGAUAAAUCAAAGGAAACCUGGCUCUUACUCUCUCCCACUCUUCCUAGCAGAUCUUUUGUCUAAUUCUGGCUUUCUGAAGAAUGCAUCGUUCUCCUCAGAAGACCCCAAGCAGAGAUGGGCAGAGAUGGGAGGCAUUGGGGGGUGGAUGAGGGUGGGGAGAGACCCAGGGCUCCACCUGAAGCAAGCUAAGUGCUGAGAAUGGUUUUGAGCCCCUUCUCUACACUCACCCGGCACACUUUUCUAUUUCUCUUUGCGGGGGGCUGGAGGGAUGGGCAGGACAGAGGAAAGAGCAAUGAAAGUAGGGAGUCUUUGCCACUUUAUUUACAAUGUGAGCUGUUUCCUCUCUCUUUUUCUUUUGUUCAUUUCUUUGCUCUUUUUAAAUUUUUCAAAUGGUAGAAACAGUAUCCAGCUCAGUAGCUCCCUUUCUCUUUUCCAGUCCCCAAAUUUUACUCACAUUUUGAAGGAAGGUUUGAGUCAUGCUGCCAUGUAAAGAACAUGGCCAGGUGAGAUGUUGACUGAGGACGAAGAGAACAUGCAACGGCUGGUGGAAGAAGAAAGUUAUAAAUACCAACAUGGGCACGUGACUAAUUGCAGAAAGGAAGUCUUCAUAACUACGCACAAUCUCUUCUUUGCUUUGAGAUAUAUAUAUAUAUAUAUAUAUAUAUAUUAAUCAGCUCUUUUUCUCUCCUUCCUCAUUCCCCCUCUAGCCAAUAUAAAGUGUUAGCCCUAGAAUUUGGCAUUUAGGUCAUAGGAUAUCAAAGGAAGAUUGCAUCUGAACUAAGAAAGAAGUGAACAUUCCCAGAGAUAAAGCAACUAUGGGAUACUGUGUGUUUCUUUUAGGGGGUAAGGGGGCAUCUUCAGUUGUGUAAGGGACAGUCACAUCAUGUCAGGAAUAAUGUGAUGUUGUUACUGUCCUUUUUGGGAAGUUCUAAUCUGGGGUAAGAAGCGUGGACUGUGCUCAUUUGUUUAUUUUCAGCUCAGCAUCCCUCCACCCUUUUCUAAGAUCUCCUUUUCAACACGGAGGGGAAGCCAGGAACCGCGUCUCUUGCAGGAGGGGAAGCCAGGAACCGCGUCUCUUGCAGUUCCCUUUCCUGUAUGGCUCUGGCUAGAGCUUGUUCACGAGAGGUUCUUGGGCGAGAUCUGCACAAUGGAGAAAAGGCAAAGCCAUUCUCGAAAACUGUCUCCGUCAGGGAUGGAGGCAGCUGUGGCUUCCCAGUGAGCUCUCGAGGACCCCCGCCUCACUGCCGCAGCCCGAGAGGGUGGCAGCUUCCCAGAGACCCAAGAAUCUCAGCACUUACCUGCUGGUGGCUCCUCUAACCUUUAUUCUUGCCGUUGUUACAAUGUUUGUAAGACAGUAAUAAAUGGAGAAGUGCUUUCUGUUUUCCCCGUUCAGGCUGUGUUCUGGCACUGGGGCUGGGGGUGGGCAUUUGUCUCACACCACUUGACAACACCUGGCUUCUGAUUGAUUUGAACUUUUCAACACUCUGCCUGGCAACGUUUGCUGUGAAUUCUGUCCAAGUGCCAAGGCAGACGUGGCUAGUGAGAGAACAAGACAGUGGUCUGGACUGCCUCACCACCGCUGUUGUGUGGAUCUGGUGACAAGGGAAAGGUCAGCCUGGAGUCCCCUGCUGUUGAGUUGAUGGCUGUCAGGUGGGUGACCUUGGCUGGAAGUGUCAGAAUCUAGAUAGAGGCAGCUCAGAGCCUACCAGGCUGGCUGCCCUAAGGGCGGGCCCCUUUGGCCACUCCAGAAACCUUCCUUCAGGGAGGGACCUUGCUUCUGCGGUGGGUACCCAGCCUUGGCCUCAGGUUGUCCCACACUGAGUUCAGACAGGGAUGGGCCUGAGUGCGCGAGCCAUGAGCCUCUGGCACAGAGUGAGGGCUCUGUGGUCAAGAGCACGGACUCUGGAGGCUGAUGUUGGCCUUUGAAUUCUGCCCCACCACUUACUAGCUGUGUGACCUUUGGCAAAUUUCUACACCUGUGACCCUUAGUUUUCU